RNAcentral lists this ribosomal RNA (253 nucleotides) under uncultured bacterium. RNAcentral's name for it is "partial 16S ribosomal RNA". It matches the Rfam family "Bacterial small subunit ribosomal RNA", at positions 524 to 776 of the family's 1533-position model. The record is from RNAcentral.
GACAAGGGCGGCGAGCGAUGGUCGGGAUCAUUGGGCUUAAAGGGUGCGUAGGCGGCUUCGCAAGUGACCUGUGAAAUCCCACGGCUCAACCGUGGAACUGCUGGGCAAACUGCGAGGCUUGAGGUCGGGAGAGGUGUCUGGAACUCCAGGUGGAGCGGUGAAAUGCUUAGAUCUCUGGAGGACCGCCUGAGGCGAAAGCGGGACACUGGGCCGCUUCAGACGCUGAGGCACGAAAGCGUGGGUAGCAAACAGG